Molecule: microRNA precursor, 84 nt
Organism: Pan troglodytes (chimpanzee)
Lineage: Eukaryota; Metazoa; Chordata; Mammalia; Primates; Hominidae
Rfam family: mir-548 microRNA precursor family
Source: Rfam
UAUUGGGUUGGUGCAAAAGUAAUUGUGGUUUUCGCCACUGAAUGUAAUGGCAAAAACCGCAAUUACUUUUGCACCAACCUAAUA